GAUGAACGCUGGCGGCGUGCCUAAUACAUGCAAGUCGAGCGAACGGACGAGAAGCUUGCUUCUCUGAUGUUAGCGGCGGACGGGUGAGUAACACGUGGAUAACCUACCUAUAAGACUGGGAUAACUUCGGGAAACCGGAGCUAAUACCGGAUAAUAUUUUGAACCGCAUGGUUCAAAAGUGAAAGACGGUCUUGCUGUCACUUAUAGAUGGAUCCGCGCUGCAUUAGCUAGUUGGUAAGGUAACGGCUUACCAAGGCAACGAUGCAUAGCCGACCUGAGAGGGUGAUCGGCCACACUGGAACUGAGACACGGUCCAGACUCCUACGGGAGGCAGCAGUAGGGAAUCUUCCGCAAUGGGCGAAAGCCUGACGGAGCAACGCCGCGUGAGUGAUGAAGGUCUUCGGAUCGUAAAACUCUGUUAUUAGGGAAGAACAUAUGUGUAAGUAACUGUGCACAUCUUGACGGUACCUAAUCAGAAAGCCACGGCUAACUACGUGCCAGCAGCCGCGGUAAUACGUAGGUGGCAAGCGUUAUUCCGGAAUUACUGGGCGUAAAGCGCGCGUAGGCGGUUUUUUAGUCUGAUGUGAAAGCCCACGGCUCAACCCGUGGAGGGUCAUUGGAAACUGGAAAACUUGAGUGCAGAAGAGGAAAGUGGAAUUCCAUGUGUAGCGGUGAAAUGCGCAGAGAUAUGGAGGAACACCAGUGGCGAAGGCGACUUUCUGGUCUGUAACUGACGCUGAUGUGCGAAAGCGUGGGGAUCAAACAGGAUUAGAUACCCUGGUAGUCCACGCCGUAAACGAUGAGUGCUAAGUGUUAGGGGGUUUCCGCCCCUUAGUGCUGCAGCUAACGCAUUAAGCACUCCGCCUGGGGAGUACGACCGCAAGGUUGAAACUCAAAGGAAUUGACGGGGACCCGCACAAGCGGUGGAGCAUGUGGUUUAAUUCGAAGCAACGCGAAGAACCUUACCAAAUCUUGACAUCCUUUGACAACUCUAGAGAUAGAGCUUUCCCCUUCGGGGGACAAAGUGACAGGUGGUGCAUGGUUGUCGUCAGCUCGUGUCGUGAGAUGUUGGGUUAAGUCCCGCAACGAGCGCAACCCUUAAGCUUAGUUGCCAUCAUUAAGUUGGGCACUCUAAGUUGACUGCCGGUGACAAACCGGAGGAAGGUGGGGAUGACGUCAAAUCAUCAUGCCCCUUAUGAUUUGGGCUACACACGUGCUACAAUGGACAAUACAAAGGGCAGCGAAACCGCGAGGUCAAGCAAAUCCCAUAAAGUUGUUCUCAGUUCGGAUUGUAGUCUGCAACUCGACUACAUGAAGCUGGAAUCGCUAGUAAUCGUAGAUCAGCAUGCUACGGUGAAUACGUUCCCGGGUCU
Molecule: ribosomal RNA, 1373 nt
Filed under: uncultured bacterium
Lineage: Bacteria
Description: bacterial SSU rRNA
Rfam family: Bacterial small subunit ribosomal RNA
Source: RNAcentral